Molecule: long non-coding RNA, 679 nt
Filed under: Homo sapiens (human)
Lineage: Eukaryota; Metazoa; Chordata; Mammalia; Primates; Hominidae
Description: non-protein coding lnc-PLEKHM1-3:9
Source: RNAcentral
CUGCCACGGAGGAGAUGCUCUUCACGAAGGGAGAGUCAGGUACAUUGGAGGAUUCAUUGCUGUGGCCAGGGAAGGCAGAGGACAUGCAAAAUUAGUAUUUCCCUUUCUAUCUUCUAGGAUGGACUUUUUUCAUUCAGACGGCCGCUCUGGCUUAAAGAUAUGUACAAACCUCUCAGUGCCACAAGAGUAAAUAAUCACGCAUGGAAGCUGCACAAGAAGUCAUCUAAUGAGGACGAGAUCCUCAACAGGGACCCUGGGGACAGCGAAGCCCCAACAGAGAAGGGGGAGGAGAGUGAAGCCCUGCCAUAGGAGGAGAACCCAGCCCACCUCAGGCCUCCUGCAAAAACACAUAGCAUAAACAAUACCAUCAGAAAGAAAAGCAGGACUGAAGCCAGCGGCCCACACAUCCACAGAGGCAGCGGGCAGAGCAAGCACAGGGCCAUCGUUCCUGCCCUUGUUUCCCAGUCUAAUUAGUCACCCAGACCUGAAAACAUAUCCUCAGGGGGUGGAGAUUUUACAAUUACCAUUGUUUUUGGUGCCCUCUCCCUUGCUUCAUCAAGCAUCAGUCAUAUAAUACCACAGAUUUGAACUCCUGCCCACAGGGGACCUCCCAUCUCCUGGCCCCUAUCAUAGGAUCACUGGGCCUACCUGCACUGUGGGGCCAAGCCCUGUCUUUUUC